AUACUCAGACAGCAGAGCCAACCCAUGCAGGAACUAACUUCUGAGCAAACCAGCAGCAUCUUGGUGAGCAUUAUGGUGAGUUCUCUUCUCCAUCAAAAGGUAACACAAUUCAUGGACAUUCUGAUUUCUCCUUUUCUUGUCUUUGUUUCAACCUUAUACAAUCAACUUGUAGCAGCUUGAAUGGCCUAAUGACUUUGUUUAUUGUGUGUUUUUUAAUAGUUGUAUCAGGCAUUAGACCCUUGUGACAUAAUAAAGGCUCAAAUGGUUGAAGUUUGAGACUAAGAACAUUUACAGCACCCUAGAAGGGCUCUGACCUCAUCUGUAUACCCUAGCUGUGAGAACAGUUCUUGGGAGCUUUCUAGAAUGUAACUCUGUGUAUCCCUAUGUACAGCAAAAAUGUGUUUAUUUGUUCUCUCAAUUUGGUCAGUGUCACAACUAGAGUGGUCUGGCUAGGUCUCCUGGUUUGUUGUGUUCUUAUUUUUUCUGAACUUAAAUAACUUCUUUUGGGAAGGUUCAUAAAUUUGAAAAUAAUAAAUAAAAUUUAAAUUAAAAAAUUCCCAUUAGUGCUUACUUUCAUUAAUCAAUGUUUUUCAUUUUGAAUUAUAAUUUGCAGUUUUCUGGUUCUUUUGGUAAAAUCAGUGGGUAUCCUUAAGACAUGGAAAUGGCUGUGUGCUUAUUCUCUAAGCCCCAGUCCAUUUAGGGAAAGGUUUUUUAGUAACUAGAAAAGGGUGUACUGUCUGUUAGAACAGCUCUGGGUGAAAUGUCUUAGGAAAAGAAAAGCAAAAUCUUUCUACAGAUUCAAUUCCACAAGGCUUUUUUGUGCUCCAUACUCUCCCAUAUGACCAUUCUUCCCUAAGACUGGAUGACAUGUUGAGUAUUUCAGCCUGUUACAUGGUUUAGAAGUGUUGCUGGAUUGUGUGAUUUGUGUUCUCAUCAUCAUGUGUUUAUGGUUUAUCAGAUUUCAGUAGCAGUUAUAAUAGCAAUCUAUGUUUUAUAAUACUAUUAGGUUAAAAACUGAAUGUAGAGGGGCAGUGAGACAGCUCAUAAAGUUUGAUCUUGGACCAUGGUAGAACCUUAAGAACCUGAAGCAGGAGCGUCAUAUGUUAAAGCCAACUUAGGCUUCAAGGUGACACCCUAUCUCAAACCAAGAAGGUAUUGGUCAGGAAAGCUGUUACCCAAGUGGCCAAAGCCAAGAAGUUAUAGACAAAUGUUUCUGAUUCCUGGUCUCCUGACAGUAACUGGAUGAGUUUUAUUCUUGGUUUCCACUUGUAUUCCUUUUAUGGCAUUUGUUCAGACAAAGGCCUAUUAUACCCUAAGGCUAUAGUGUUAGAAGCAAGUAGAUACUGUUUCCAGACUGUUGGACAAAGAUACCCUAAAGGGACAUUUGUACUUCAUUUGACUAAAAACUAUUUAAACAGUGUUCCCCAGUGAAUUUCCAUUUAUCUAGGAACAUCAUGCUGAUGGAUGUAAAAUCCCAGAGCCUUCCAGAGAAAAAUUGUGUUCCAGAGAGAGAUUUCUGGUUUCUCUGACCACCAUGCAGGACAGAAUGGAGUCAAACAGCAAUGGGACAAUGAUAGGUAGGAUCACAUCUCGACUGCUUAGCUCUAUCAACUCAAGUCUUUUGUUUUCUGUAAUCUCAUAUCAUGAAUUCCACUUAUGGACCUCAGAGCACACUGUAUAAUUAGUACCUCUCCCCUAUGUGGCCUCAUUGACUAAACCUCCUUUGUCUUGUGUUACUAUGAAUUUACCUCUUUAAAUUUGCUUUUAAAGAACAACUGGCCAAGCCAGGCUUGUUAGGGCUGCCAGAACACAGGCUCUAACCCUAACAGUUUAUUGAUAUGAUUAUUGUUUUCUUUUGUGUGUUUGUGAUAGAGUUCCACUUUAUAGUCCAGGCUGUCUGGUACUUCAUAUGUAGACCAGGCUACUUUUGAAUACACAGAGAUAUGCUUGUCUCUAUCCUUUGAUUCUAGCAUGGCAAAUGUGUAUCACUGCAUGUGGUAGGAUUUUCUCUGUCCAAUUACGUUAAAAUAUUAGUGCAGCAGGAGACCUGUGAUUGGACAGAGAAAGAGAGAGACUAAAAGUAGGGCGAGGAGAAGCCAAGAUGGAAACAGACAGACAGGAAGAAGAUCCUGAUCCCGUGUGAUUUUAAUAGCCAUAGGUAACUAUGAAUAUCAUAAGGGAUAGAAUAGUUGGGGUAACUUGGUUGAUGUAGGUGGGCAGCUUGUAUCAUUAUCAAUUGGCUCUGAAAUCAUUGUGUGGGUAUCUUGUGAAUUGAAAAUUUAUAUAUAAAUAAAUAUGACUUGUUAAUUAUAAGAUUCUAGAUUGUUGUUUCUAGAAGGGUUGCUGGAUGUGGUGGCUGACCUUGCGGUGGGCAGUCAUUGCAUGGGGCUGGCAUCACAGUGAAGAGAACUUGGGAGCUCUGGCCCCAACCAGAGAGCUGGUAGGCAGAGAGUAGCUGGAUGGAGCACGGGAACUUGGCUGUUGUUUUUUUAAUAUUUCCCACAACAACCAGCACCCAACUGUGACUGAUUUAUUUGUUCACCAUACUUUAUGUCUCUGAUAAUGACUCUUGCUGGGGAUUCAUAGUUCACAGACUGUUGAACUGUUUUCACAGAUCAACCACCUCUUGAAGUUUAUUAAACUUUCCUGUAUUGUUUCUUACAUACCACUUCUUUCAGGUACUCUCUUUCUACCCACCAAAGGUGGAGCACUUCCCAGCCGGAGCUACCUUCCUGCCACUGUGUGAUCCACAUUCUGAUUCUGGGACAGGAGGAGAUCAGAAGAGGUUGGAGGCUGAAAAAUGUAAGGAGUCAUAGACAAAUAAGACAUAUUUAUUCACUGUGGGGAAAAACCACCAGGCUGAUAACUUCCAGCAGGGACGCAGGCCCAGGAUGAUCUACACAGUACACACACAGGAACAUGUGGGCCUAGACAGUCCAGUACACAAACCACAGGAAUGUAGGGAUAGAGAUCUACAGGCAAUCUGGGGAAGGCAGUCUCAGGGUCCAGCCUCCCACCUACAAGAACAAAAAGAAACCUAGGUUAGGACAUGCCACUUUUUUUAACAGAAUUCUAAAACUUUCACCUCUAAAGUGAGAGCAACUUCAUUGGAUCCAGUCAACCCAAAGAAAGAUUUCACAGCGAACCAAUCAACUCUCAGAUUAUUAUGUCUGAUUAAAGGGGCUUAAGUGAGAGCUAUGGAGGCAUGAAAAGGAGUUUUCUCAAUAGAGGCCACACAGGUUCCAGGAAGAGGCAGACCAGAGCUGUGACUACGGCUAGGAGGAACUUUUCAUGAAUCACAUCUCACGGAAAUGACAGUCACCUGACGUAUUUUUGGAGGUUUUAGAAUUUACCACAGAGAUAAAAAGGUAAGCAGAGAACGCAAUUAAGAAAUUGGUGUCGGGGCUGGGGAGAUGGCUCAGUGGUUAAGAGCACUGACUGUUCUUUCAGAGGUCAUGAGUUCAAUUCCUAGCAACCACAUGGUGGCUUCUUCUCCUAUGCCCUCUUCUGGUGUGUCUUUAGACAGCUACAGUGUACUUAUUAAAAUAAAUACAUAAAUCU
This 3561-nucleotide long non-coding RNA is filed under the name Mus musculus (house mouse). RNAcentral describes it as "predicted gene, 47662". The record is from RNAcentral. Lineage: Eukaryota; Metazoa; Chordata; Mammalia; Rodentia; Muridae.